ACUUCUCUGCUUUUCCUAAUCUCACUGCCCUCAAUCUCAAUAUGAACAAUUUGGUAGGAAGUAUUCCGGCUGGAAUUGGGAAUGCAACAAAGCUCAUCUUACUUGAUUUGAGUAGCAAUAAUCUCACAAAUCCAAUACCUCCAGAAAUUGGAUACCUUUCAGAUCUCCGAGUCCUUCUUCUCUACAAUAAUUCACUCACAGGUCAAAUUCCACAUCAACUUAGCAACCUACAGAACGCGUGGCUGCUAAGAAUUGGUGCUAACUACCUGGAGGAUCCUGACCCAGUCAAGUUUAAGGGUAUGGCAUCUUUAACAGAUCUUUGGCUUGACUAUAAUCUUUUGGAGAAAUUUCCCUCGUUUAUAGCUGAAUGCUCGAAGCUGAUGUUUCUCGAUCUUUCUGAUAAUCUAAUUAUGGGUCAUAUUCCGAUAGAGCAACUGACUCAUCUGGAAAACCUCGAAUAUCUGAACCUAACAAAGAAUUCGUUUGAAGGAGAGAUUCCCCGGGAAAUUAAAACAUUUCCUAAGCUUCGACACCUGAAGCUCGGGCAAAACAAGCUUACCGGUACAAUACCUGAUGAAAUAGGGCUCCUAUCAAACCUUGAAAUACUUGAAUUCCAUGAGAAUUUGUUUCACGGGCUGAUACCAUCUUCAUUAGGAAACUUGAGGAGGCUUCAACGUUUGAACCUAAAAUCUGCAGGUCUAAAUUCCAGCAUCCCCAAGGAACUUGGAUUCUGCGCCAACCUCACUUUCCUCGAACUUUCUAUUAACAACCUUACAGGUUCCUUGCCUCUUUCCCUGGCCUCAUUAAGACAAAUCAGCGAGCUAGGGAUUUCCAAUAACCAACUAUCUGGUGAAAUUCAUCCAUAUCUCUUUUCUAACUGGUCAGAGAUCAUCUCUUUGCAGCUCCAGAUGAAUGAUCUAUCAGGAAAACUUCCACCUGAAAUUGGGUUACUCCCCAAACUAGAGUAUCUGUAUCUUUUUGAUAACAAAUUUUCAGGUCCUAUAUCUCAACAAAUCGGAAAUUUGACAAAUCUGUUUGAUCUUCAACUGGCCAACAACUUUUUCAAUGGUUCCAUCCCUUCCACCAUUGGAAAUUUAUCCAGUCUUGUGAAGUUAAGUCUUUCUUCUAACCAACUUACUGGAACCCUUCCUCCUGAAAUAGGCAACCUCAAAAUGUUAGAAGAGUUGGACUUGAGCUCAAAUAAUUUGCAAGGAACUCUUCCCAUGUCAAUAACCAAUUUACAAAGCCUCACCCUGUUAUAUGUUUCAUUCAACAACUUCUCAGGAAGCAUUCCAGUUGAUUUUGGACCCAGAUUCUUAACAAAUGUGAGCUUCUCCUACAAUAAUUUUUCUGGAAAGCUGCCUCCAGGAAUUUGUAGAGGUGGGAACCUCAUCUAUUUAACUGCCAAUGUAAAUAAACUCGUGGGACCUAUUCCAGAAAGUCUUUGGAACUGCACAGGACUAACCAGAGUUAGGCUUGAGCAGAAUCGUCUGGAUGGAGAUAUCACGAAUGCAUUAGGCAUAUACCCAGAUCUGCAAUAUAUUGACUUGGGAGACAACCAGCUUUCUGGAAUGUUGACAUCAAACUGGGGAAAGUGCACCAAUCUCUCAAACUUUCGCAUAUCUGCUAAUAGAAUAAAGGGCGGUAUCCCAGCGGAGCUUGGAAAUUUGACAUAUUUGCAGAAUCUCGCCAUUUCUGAUAACCAACUGACAGGGAAAAUUCCAGCAGAGCUUUUCAGAUCUUCAGUUCUCAUCAGACUGAAUUUGAGCAGGAACCAACUCUCAGAUAAGAUACCUGCAGAAAUUGGAAAGCUUUCACGGCUACAAUAUUUGGAUUUGUCAGAGAACAAUCUAGAUGGACCUAUACCAGAUAAACUUGGGGACUGUGAGACACUUAUAUUUCUGAAGCUGAGUAAAAACAGAUUAAAUGGGACUAUGCCAGAGCAGCUUGGGAAUCUAAUAGCACUGCAGUCUGUCUUAGACCUCAGUCAAAAUACUAUCACAGGAGAAAUAUCCCCCCAGCUUGGGAAACUGAUAAAACUGGAAGUACUGAACCUUUCACACAACCAGCUUUCAGGUCCAAUACCUUCCACCCUUGAAGAUCUUGUAAGCCUUCAGGAUGUUGAUGUAUCAUAUAACAAUCUUGAAGGUCCGCUCCCAAACACAAGGGCCUUUCUGCAAGCUUCUGUUGAAGAAGUGGCCGGUAAUCCUGGCCUAUGUGGUGAAAAGGCAAAAGGUUUGACCCCUUGCAGCAGAGACACUUCAUCUAAGAAGCAAAACAGAAAUAACAAAAGGAAAUUGGUGAUUGCCAUUGUCAUUCCAGUAGCUGCUUCAACAAUUCUGUUAAUUCUUUUUGGAAUGUUCCUUUUCCACCGUUAUUCAAGAGCUUGUGAAGAUAAAAAGGACAAAUAUUUAGGAAGAAAAAGCUCAUUUUCUGUAUGGAACUACACAAAGAGAAUAGAUUUUAAGGAUAUAGUCACUGCAACAGAUAACUUUGACUAUAAAUUUUGCAUUGGAAGGGGUGGACAGGGGAGCGUCUACAAAGCAAAGCUUCUGACAGGUGACAUCUUCGCCAUAAAGCGUCUUCAUACUCCUGACGAAAAUGAGCUAUCCGAGGAAUAUCAGAUGAAGAGUUUCGAAUCUGAAAUGCAUGCUCUAACAGAACUUCAGCAUCGGAAUAUUGUAAAAAUGUACGGAAUCAGUUACUUUGAUGGGGACCUUUUUUUUGUAUAUGAAUUCAUAGAGAGAGGCAGCUUGGCAAAGUCAUUGCUGGAUGACAAGGAAGCAGAGAUUUUGAGCUGGGAUAUAAGGUUAAAGAUCGUCAGAGGAGUUGCAAAUGCACUAUCCUACCUGCACCACGACUCUACACCCACUAUUGUGCACAGAGACAUAUCAAGGAAUAACAUUUUACUGGACAUGGAUUUUGAGCCUAAGAUUUCUGAUUUCGGAACAGCGAGGCUGCUAAAAGCAGGAGAGUAUAACACCACUGCUAUAGUUGGUUCAUAUGGUUAUAUUGCACCAGGUAAUUCCCAAACCACACCAUUAAACUAUGCACUAGUGAGCAUCGUUUUCCUACUAACAUGUGAUGUAAUAUGAACAGCACUUCCAACCUCACCAAUCCUGGUUCAUAGCUCAUCAACCAAAGUGGCAUUUUUUAGUCUUUCUUGUUAAAGUUUAGUCCUGAAAGAAAGCAUACGUGUUAAACCCCAAAAGAAAAAUAUAGCUAAUUAAACCCUAAAAGAAAAAUAUAGCUAAGUAUCCCAAAAAUAAUUUCAUGACAUGACCAGAUAAAUCAUUAGCAAAAAGAACAAAAAUCUAAUGCCUUGAUGCUUUGCUAAUUAACUUCUUCACAUAUUAUUUAUGUGUUGCAGAACUAGCUUCUUCAACGAAGGUGACAGAGAAAUGCGAUGUAUAUAGUUUUGGCGUUGUUGCAUUAGAAGUGCUAAUGGGGAAGCACCCCCAGGAACUCCUCCUAUCUCUGCAAUCUGGAGAGUAUAAUCUGCUGCUUGCCAAUAUUUUUGAUAAGAGGCUCACACCUCCAAGUGGUCACAUUAUGCAAGAUCUGGUUUUAGCAGCUACACUAGCCUUGAUAUGCAUAAGUGAAAAUCCCAUGUCAAGACCCACGAUGCGUCAAGUAUCCAGCGAACUGCUUACAGGAGCACGUCUUCCUCUCUCCAUACCUUUGCACUUGCUCACACUGCAGAACUUGAUGGAUAUGUUUUCUCAUAUUGGAUCCCAACAAGCAACAAGUCCCUAGCAAAGUUCCAGCAGGCAAAAUCUCUCCCUCUCUCUGCACCUUUCCACAAGCUCAUAUUGCGGAAGUUUCUGUCUAAAGUUUUCCAAAAUAUACUUGUCAAACAAGUUGUCUUAAAUGUACUUCUUAAUCUAGCUAAUCAUCUACUUUCAUCUAGUUAUCAGAUUCAACAUACUUUGAUUCUAUAUCCUUCUUCAUCUCCUAGGGAAUCACAAAUAUAUAAUUUCUUCCACAAGCAAAGCAAUGGGUAAAUGAUUAGAUAGAAAAUCACCUGAUUAUGCAACAGCAUCACAACAUUGAAACACACACUCUCGGUGCUUCAAAAACUGGAAAGAAGAAUAAGAAGCUCUCGUUCUGACUUGGGCCAGACAUAACAGGAUAUGAACCCUUCGAUAACCCAUAAACUUGCUGAGAACCUGAAAGAACGCACAUACGCAAAUUAAACUAACACAAAAUUACUAAAAGCAACAAUAAACUCACGUUUUUGAAUAAGAGUAGGGAAAGAUUUAGAUUGUAUUUCUAUUUUCCAUUAAAGAUAUUAUUUAGUUUUGAUUUUGUUUUGAAGGUAAGAAAGAAUUUAUAAACCUUUGAACUUCUGAUUUUAUUUUUGAUUUUAUGUGAUUGAUUGAAUGAUUUUACGGGUAUUAUAUUAAUAAAAUUGUGAAAGCAUGAUCAUGUAUUGAUUUAUGUUAUUAUUGAGUGGAAGUAGUGCUAUUAUGUUAUCACAAAAACCGUAAAUAGUGCAAAUUAAAUAUCAUAUGACUGAUGUUUCAAUUGAGUUUUAUAUAUAAACUUUAUAGAUUAUUAAAUUAGAUAUCUUUAUCUUUCUAUCUAUAUGUUUAUUAUUCAAAAACUCGUUGUAUAUUAAUUGUUUUGAUUUUUCGAAAUUGGAACACUAGUGUUGGAAAAUUUUAAUUUUCAGCAACAAUUCUUAUUUUUAUAAUUUAUUUCAUAAUCCAAUGGGUUCUGAAAAUUCUGAGAAUUUUUAUUACUGUACACAUAGAUGUCUAGUUUCAUUUUACCAAAGCAAACACGUCCACUUCUGACUUCUCAAACAUUGUGAAGUGGAAGACACUGAUGUUAUCUUACUUUUGGGGUGCUGUCAUGUCUUUUACAUGAUUCUCUUUAUUCAGCCUUAUGCUUUUUUUUCUUAGAUGUUUCUCCUAAAUGUUUUCAAGUUUUUAAUUGAAGAGAUUGAUUAGUAUAUAUAGGUUAUAUAAAUCCUUGCGUUCUUAUGACUGAGUGAAAAAUAUGCCAUUGGCAGUGAAAGAUCUACUCAAUAUUAUGUACACCUGAAAGAUAUAAGGGAAAUUUACAGUAAUAACUAAAAAAAUUUUCCUUUUUUUCAUCUUAACCCUCUAAAAAUAUUUCUAUCAACAUUAGCCAUAAAACAAUAUUUGAGACCAAAAUACCCCUCCCUCAUCUCUCCCCCAACUCUCCCAAACCGAUCCAACUCCCAUCAUCGGCGGCGACAUCAACCCUCGUCGGCGGCGGCUCCAUCUCUCACCGGCAUCCGAUCUACGAUCUACAACCUUCAACAAAAUCUAGGUUAGUCGUUUUUCUUAUUUUCAUUAAUUUAAAAUGAGAUUUUAGAAUAAUAAUAGUUAUAGCUUGAGAUUAAUAGUGGUGGUGAUGAUGUUUGUGGUGGUUGGUGGUGUUUGGGAGUAUUGUUUUCGAUUUUGGAGUGAUUGUGCUUAAUUUUGCGGGUGGGGAGGGAAGGGGGCAGGGCGCGCGCGCACCCAUGCGCGGCCUGCUGUCGCACCAAAUCUGGUGCGACAGGCGCGCGCCUGUCGCACCACAGCUUGUGCGACAGCGCCCCUGUCGCACCAAUUUUUUAGUGCGAGAGGCUUGCCCGUCGCACCAAAAAUUAGAUUUUUUUUUUUGUAACGAGUUAAUUUUUUUUUCUGUAAAUGUAAUGUAAUAAUUUUAUAAAUAUUACAGAUACAUGGUGAAAUCAGAAUCACCGGAUAUUGAAGUAGGCAAGAUGUAUUUUUGUUAUGCUGAUCAUUUUCCUGGCCGAAUUUCGAGCAUGUGUAUGUUAUAUUCGGUCAUUAAAGCCAUCGAGGAAAAAUUAACAAACCGGCAGUUGCGUAUGUUCAAAAAGGAUAUAUUUGGGCAUUUCUUGGAGUGUCGAAGUUUUCCAUUUAGUGGGGUAAUUUUGCACAAUCUUCUACUGCGGCAAGUGGCCCAUGAAGAAGAUAGCCGUGAGGAUUAGUUAUGGUUUCAAAUUGGUAAGCAUUUGAUUCGCUUGUCAAUUGUCGAAUGGUGCUUGGUUACUGGACUUUCAUUUGGUGUUGAUACCAAUAAAAAAAAUGAUGAAAUGGAGCAGAGGCUACGGAACACGUAUUUUGGUGGUGUGCAUCGUAAGAUUAAUGUGAAGCAAUUCGAUGCAGUAUUUAAGGAGUUGAAAUUCGAGGAAAUGGACGAUAUGGACGCAUUAAAGAUUGCGCUGUUUUAUUUUGCGGACAGAGUACUAAAUGCAAGAAAAAAUCACUGUCAAAUUAAUUUCGAUUGGCUUGACUAAGUUGAUGAUAUACAGUACUUCCGAAAGCGUCCAUGGGGUCUAUUGUCGUGGGAAAUGAUUUACGAGAGUCUUGACAAUGCACUGUUCGAGAAAGACGAGAAAUUUAAGAAGACUCGGUUGAAAAAUCUAGAUCAUAAUAUUGAAAAAUACAAUCUUUACGGCUUUAUGUCUGGGGUUCAGGUGCUAUUUUUUUUUGUUUAUUAAUAAGUUUUAUAGUAUUAAAUAUUUGAUAGUUGUUUUAUUUGAUUUUUCACUUUGGUUAUUGUAGGCUUGGAUUUACGAAGCAAUCAGAGGGUUGCCAUCAACAUGGGUCGUCAAAACGAAGAAUAAGAUUCCCCGCAUUCUGCAAUGGAAGCCCAUGGCGUCGUCGAGAAUCAACUUUGCGGAGGUUUAUUCGUUCUUCAACGACGAAUCUCGUCUUGUAAGUAAUAUAUAUUACUUAUUUUUUUAACUUUACUAAAUUUAAGUUAUGUAUACUUACUUAAAAUUUUAAAUUGAAUUUAUGGAAGGGGGACGUUUUACAAACUCUUAAGCCAAAUUCAAAGGAGAGUAGUAGAAAUUAUUAGCUCUCUGUGAAGGAUUACUUGCCAAGCAUUCCAGACUGGGUUCAUAAGGUCGGUAUACUCUAAGCACUAAAAAUUUGUUAAUCGAAAUUUUUGACUUUUCAUUUACUAAUUUUAAAUGAUACUUUAUACAGCAUCAACCCUCAAUCAACGCGAUGCCGUCGGUUACAAGGCAAUCAGACGAGCAUGACGAUCAUGACGACAUACUAAACCCAAUACCAGAGCAGCGUCAUGACACUUUUGAAGAUGAGGUGGGGCAUGACACUUUUGAGAAUGAGGUGGCUGUUGAUGACCACCAGCAGCAAACAAACAACUCUGAUGACGCACGAGAUUCUGAGAUUAGAAAUAAUAUACGAUAUUUUUUUUUUAAAUUAUUAAUUUUUUAUUGUUAUUCUAAAGUUUUAUUUUUUUCUUUUGUCAUAGUCGAGGACAAAGCAGUUUAAUGAUUACGUACGACGACGGCUGGAUAAGAUUGAUCGUAACGUGUAUGAAAUAAAGUCAGAAUUAAAAGAUUUUAAAGAAACCGUUGUUGGCUUCAUCGAAACAUUUUCUAAACGUCCAAAUAAGGAUUCUCCCACUGCACGCUCGUAUGCGGUAAGCUAAUUUAAAUUUAAUAAUAAUGUUCGUUUAACUUUUAAUUUGAUAGUUAUUUAAUAUGUUCUUUUUGGCGAAUGUACAGGCCCCGGAUGACGUUGGAGUGUAUACUGACGUGGGCAAUGAAAAUUUGUCUACGCCCACGUCAUUGUAUAGUUUCUACGGGGAUGUAAGUGGGGAGAGCGUGCAGGUGUUCACAAAGGUGCCUCCGGGCGUUAGUAAGUUCGGCCGCGCGUACAUACCGUCGUAUGUUUAUAACAGUCCUUACAUGAUUCCUCCGGUUAGGCGAGGACAGAACGUCCGGCCUUUACCUCGACCCCAAAUCAUGGAGCAUGCGAUUGACAUGAGUACGAGUGUGGAUGUAAAUCCACUGAGAGAAUUGGAGGACUCUAGUCUGUUUGCUGAGUUUGAUCGAUGGUUCACUGGUGAUAGCAGAGUCCGCCGGAGAGUCCAGCACCCGCGGUCAUUCUUUCAAAUAAUUUUGGGGACAGCUUCGAUGGGAUGGCUAGGCGAUGAGGUAUUUAUAAUUUUCUUGUGGUGUAUACUGUUGUGGAUUUGUGUAUAAUUUGUUUUUAAAAAACUCGUAAUAUUUCUGUUUCUCUACAGCAUAUUCACGAGUAUCUCCGCUUGAUUAGCGAGAAACAACGGCAGUAUCCAAAUGCCUUACUCCAACGUGUCACACAUACUGACACAUUUUUUUGGGUAACGUGCCGACAAAACUUAUAAAUUUUAUUAAAUUAUAAAAAUUUAAGUUUUAUUAAUUUAUGCAUUUCUUGGUUAUCUAUGUAUUAGGUGUUCUUGAAUCAGUUAUGGAAUAACGAGAAUUGUGCAGUCGAUUCAAUGGUAUUCGACGACCGCUUGAAUAGUUAUCUUUGUGGCCGACAGCACACAAUGUCUAAAUCAAUGACGGAUGUCGAUAUGGUAUGUACUUUAUUACAUUUCACAUGCUAUAUAAUGAAAAUAUUCAAGUUGUUGAUUUUUCUUUGUUGUAUUUUAAUUUCAUACAUGACGAAUAUGUUUUUCAAUUGUUAUAUGCAGUUACUCAUCCCUGUUAACUUGGACGGCGCGCAUUGGGUACUAGCACGAGUUGACUUUCGGAAAAACAAAGUCUGGAUUUAUGACUCAUUACUCACAAAUCGCGACGACAAAAGGUACAAGUUGAAAUUCAAGCCACUUGAAGUUAUAUUCCCUCGAUGGUUGGAAUAUGUUGGCUUCUACAAUAUCCGACCGGAGCUGCAGAGUGAAGACCCGUGGAAAGUUAUCGCAGUUAAGAGCGCGCCACAACAAGAGCCCGGAACUGGCGAUUGCGGUGUUUUUGUAUUGAUGGUUACGAUGUAUUUAAUGUUCGGGCUUAGAUUGGAGUUUAACGCUAGUCAUGUCGAGUACUUUAAAAAGAAGAUUGCGGUUGAUAUAUUUAAUGACGAUAUUAAAUUGUAAACCUAUGUAGUAAUUUAAAUGUUGGAAUUUGAAUUUUUUUUUACUUCGCGCACUUAAGUUUAUAUAAUUUUAAUGCCUCACAUUUUAAACUUUAAAUAAAGUUUUAUGAAAUAUAAGUGUACAAUACACAAAAAAUAGUAACAGUUUUAACCAACGAACACAAAAACAAUAAUAGUUUUAACAAACUCAUAACACACAAAAUACAACUAACUUCGAGUCGACGCAAUGGGAUUCUUACAUGACACCGACCGCAUCUUACAGUCCGCCGGUCAACGUCCUCGCCAGCCGAGGGUAUUCUGAGCUCUUUACGACGGCCAGGUGGUGGUGCCUCAACUGGUGGGUAUACUUGCAUCUCCUAAAUUUCAUCUGGAAUUUUCCAAUCAGCCACAUCACCAACUGGCUCUACUGGUUGUGCAUAAGCCAUCGCCAACGAUUCUGUAGUGUAAAAGUCCGAGCAAAGGUUAAUAAAAUCCACCCGGUGUGUUAGACACGCCGCAAUUGCAUGAGCACACACAAGCUGAUCAAGCUGGAACACUCUGCAGGAGCAAGUUCUCUUUUGCAAGUCAACCAACCCUUCCUUAAGCCCACCGCCUAUAACUUGAAAGCGAUGCGGAGACACCGGCCGAACUAUCAUUCUUUCAGCUAUAAUUCUCCUCUCAGUGACUAUUUCAUCCGCCCAUGUUGUUAGCCGAGUAGUCAUUGAUUCAGCCACAAUUUUCCUAUCAUAAAACCAUUGCUGCAAUGUUUUCCUAAAGUGAUCAACAAGAUGAGUCACAGGAAAUUUUCGAGGUUCCCUCAUGAAAGCAUUAACACUCUCCGCGAUGUUGGUGGAAAGAAUGCUGUACCUCCUACCUUCAAACUGAGACCUUGCCCAAUUACACGUACCGACAUUAUUUUCUAGGUAAUCAGCCGCACCCGAGUGGAUCAUCCACAACCCCUCAAGUUGUCUCUUAAAUUCCUCGUGGCCAUAUGCUUUUGCUGCAUUAAUAAAGGCAGGCUCAAAUUCAUCCCAAAGAGCUUUGGACAUUCUAAAUUGUGACUUAAUGUAACCUUUGACGUGGUAAAAACAAACGCCAUGAGUUGCAUUGUGAAAUACUUUAAGAACGGCUCUCCUUAUGGCAGUGCAUCGAUCAGAGAUAAUUACCAACUCAGGUCUAUCACCAAUCACUCCGUGUAACUUCAUCAUAAACCAUUCCCAAGCAUCAUUGUUUUCUGAAUCCAUGAUCCCAAUGGCUAACGGAUACAAUUGAUUUUUACCAUCAAGACAUGUUGCCAUGAACAUGCUUCCACAAUAUAGUCCCUUCAGAUGAGUAUCAUCUACAGCAAUGACAGGCCAAAUGUACUGCAUAAACCCCUUGAUGGAAGAUCCGAGUGCUACAAAAUAGUAUAAGAAAUUACCAUCUCUAUCUUGCUCGAGGUGAGUGACUGUACCCUCAUUCGCUGUAGUUAGUACGUGAGAGUAUUUAGGAAGCAUGUUGUAUGACUCUGUAGGGUUGCCGCGAACUAUUUCAAGACCAACUUCUCUCGCCCUAUAUGCCUGUUGGUAUGUUAACUGAACAUCGUAUUCCUGUUGCAUAUCUGCUCUUAUGUCAUUGGGAGUAUAAAUCCUCUUAUCUUGAAUAUAUUUUUCUGCAAUAAUAUGACCGACAACCCGGCUCCUUACUUGAUGACGUUCAUCAACCAAUACCUCAUUAUGACAAGUGUGUACAUUAUCAAUUCUCUUCACCACCCAAGGCACAUUUUGCUCGUUCGAACUGCUAGUUGCUCGAAUACGUCAUUUACAUGAUUCUGAACAAUAGUGAGCCUCGAAACGUGUCGUAGUAGACCGUGCAAUCUUGAAAUCAAACUUAUCUCUAAAGGCCACCUUGCGUAGUUGUAAUAUAAGCUCAUUCUUCUCAGCAAAUAGCUUACCCACGCUUAUAUCAUCUGAGUCACAACUGCUAACAAAGCUUGAAGCAACCAUGUUCGAAGGUAAAGUUGGAGCAAGACUUGUAAGGGGGUCAAUUCUCCUUCUCGAUCGAACCAUAGAAGGAAUAGGUCUAUUGCCUCUGUUAUUCACAGGAGUAUUAUCUUCACACUCAUCCUCAUGCUUGAACGACGGAACAUUCGAAGGACCGGCUCCUCCAUCAUCACCAUCAUUAUUGAAACGAGUGCCCCGCCUCGUAUUAUUAGAAGGUUAUGCACAAACAUUAUCCCCCUCUGUCUCAUAAUUAAAAUCAUCAUUGUCCCGAAAAUCAUUGUUGUGAUACGGAGAAUAUCGUUGCUCCAACGACGUUGUUAUUGGAAAUACCGUUGCUCCAACAUCCUGUAACGUAACGUCAUUAUCAUCAAUGUUGUCAUAAUUGUCGUGGAUUGAAGAGUAAUAUUGCUACAGCGAUAUUGUCCUCAGCAACACCUCUUCAUCAUUAUCGGGGCCAGACAUAUUUGCUCUAAACGAAGUUUCUGUAUCGACAUGUGGCUCAAUACCUUCGCUCGGAACUCGAGGUGAUGUGGUCACGAAUAUAGGAAUGCAUCCAACAUUAGCUACGUCAGAUGCCAUAUGCAACACAACCCUCACCAUUUCAUCAUCACAUAUAUCCAUGGGCAUUGCACAUAUACGAUAUAAUGUGUUACUAGACCUCAAAGUUGUCUUCAUUGUGAUAUUAUAAUCAUUAGGGUUUAUUUGUAACACCUCGUAUACUCUUGCCAAUAACUGAUCAAACAGAUAAUUUUUUCCAACCAAAAAAGCUCGAUUUUUACCAUUCACGUACUCCAUACGGUCAUUCUCUAAUGUCUCCCACCAACCAUCGUAACAUAAUUCAAGUACAACUGAAUCCAUUAAGCCUGAAAUUAUAAAAAAAAAAUUAUUGCAGUCAUAUUAAAAUAAUACAGUUUUAAUGAAUCUCCAGGGUGGGUGCGACAGGCAACCUGUCGCCCGAAUCUUGGUGCGAUAGGAUGCCUGUCGCUCCAAGGUUUGGUGCGACAGGGUGCCUGUCGCUCCAAGGUUUGGUGCGACAGGGUGCCUGUCGCACCGAGCAAGGUGUGGUGCGACAGGCGCCUGUCGCUCCAAGCAAGGUGCAACAGGCACCCUGUCGCACCGAGUUUUACUGCGACAUUAGCCCGUCGGCAGAUUCAGAUUGACCCGACUCAGUUAAGUAAGUUCAGAAAAUAAUUCAUACCGGUCGAUUUGUGUUGGAUCUGAAUAGAGUAUGAUCGAAUAUCACUUUUAUCGUUGUCUUUUGCGGUCGCUGUUGGCUGAUGAUUCAAGAGUGACAAGCUGCUUUUGGUUUGGCGACAUGGGAGAAACAAUGGUGGUUUUGUUCUGUAAAGAAGGGUAAUUUAGGAAGAAAGGCUUGUAUUUGGCUAAUGUUGAUAGAAAAAAGUUAACAGGAUUAUUUGCGAAAAUAAUAAAAUUUUAAUGGUUAUUUUCGUAAAUUUCCCAAGAAAGAUAUAAUACAAGAACCAUUUUCUGCAAUUUGAAGAACAAUGAAUCAUAUUGAGAUCAAGUCAAUUCAAUUUAUGGCUCCUCUCUUUCUAAGGCCUGAACUCCAAUUUAUUGAACAAGAUUAAGAGUGAAAGAUCUUUACAUUUUCCAGGUGCAAGCUUAAGCUCACCUAAAUUCAUGGUAUAUAUUAUAAUUAUCUUUAAAAAAUUCAAAAGGACUUUCAAGCCAUGUUUAGUAUGGAGGUGUAAAAGUUACAAUUACUGUAAAAAAAAUUAUAAUUAUGAAAUAAAAGUUAAUAAUAUGUCGUAAAUAUAAGUUUUAAAUAAUUAUUUUGACAAAAGUAGUAAAAAUAUAAUAGAUUUUUUUAUUAUAUAAGUAUAAAAUCAAAUCAACUAAGCUUUCAAAUUAUAAUAGUUAGUGUUUAUCAAACAUUUUAGCACUAUAACUUUUUAGUUACAAUUAUUCAACUUCAAUCUCAAAUGGAAUUGGGAUCUUAGAGCAUGUUUCAUUCAUAAAUCAUAACUAUCCUGUUGUAGCCACUUAAAAGGAAAUAACAAGAAAAUCAUGUUAAAUAAUAUCACUGUUGAUAUUUGAGGUUAAAGAAAUCCAAACUCUAGAUUUGCAUCCUCCUGGGGGAAAGACAAAAGUGUUAAUCUGAACAUUCAACUUAAUAUAAUAUUAUUUCUUUUUGCAUUUGGUCACAUCUGUUAGCCUAAAGGGUUAUACAUAAUGUAAUUUUGAUGAUAACAAACAUAUGUAUUAAGUGAUUUAAUAGAUAUUGUAUUUCACAUUUUCACUAGUUUUUUAAGGGUAAUAUUUAUGCAAGUGAAUCAAGUGAAAUCAAGCUCAAGACACUCAACGAACAACCGUGAAGUCAAGAAUAAAGUUUAGAGCUCAAACGGACAAAUUAGUGCGAUAAAUUAUUGUAAAGCCGGUAUGAUUUAAUUGAUGCAUGAUUUAGCAUUUGAGAAGCUUAAGAGAUUAAUUUAAUUAAAUACUUUUCAUAAACUAAAAGGUUUUGUUUUUAUAAAGUAAAGUAUUUUGUGGAUUUGAGUAAUGUGGACUUAAAAUGCUAAGUUUUGAAAUCUUUGAUUUUAAUAAGUAUUAUUAUUAAAUUUCAGAGUUGGACGUUUUUAUAAACAUUUGAAAUGUUUUGGGCCAUACUAUAAUUUAUGAAUAUUUUGGAUUAAAGUGAAAGAAUUUGAGAACUUUGAAAAAUAUGGGUAUUAUGUUGAAAAAUAUCUUUUUGCGAAAUAAUAAUAUCUUUGGGGCUAUAUCAUAGUUUCAAAAAGUUUGGGAAAGACAACUAUUCUUAGGAAGUUCUGAAAAUGGACCUAUUUGCAAAGUUUUAUGACGUUUUGGGUCGUAGUAUAAUUAUAAAAAGUUUUGGGCCAAAAUUCAAAAAUAACGGUAAUAUCACUGUUCCUGAGCGGCUGGCCGGAUAAAUCAAGCGGCUAACCGUUUGGGCGCUAGAAUUUACCUAUAACGGCUACUUUGAGGGCUUUAACUAUAAAAACUCAACCCAAACUUCAUUUUAUGAACUAAUGCAAGUAAAUAUAAGAUCAUAUAACAUAUAUUGAGCUUCCAAAACGCAAAUCAUCAUAGAUUGAAUCAUUGUGGAGCUAUUAUUUGCAUAUCCACUCUUAAAGAGAGUUUUUGUUGUAAUUUUCAUUUAUUAUCAAAUUGUGAAUGUACAAGUGUGAGAAACACUUGGGGUGAAGAGAUUGGGGAUAUAAUCUCUUGUUGUAAAGGUCCAUUGACACAUUGGAAGUUAAUUGUAAAUAUUUGAAGCCUUGAGAGACUUGGAUAGUGAAAUCCUCAAGCCGGGUGAGCUUGGAGGCGUGGACGUAGGCGGGGAUAGCCGAACCACGUAAAAAUCCUUGUGUUUUUUUUUUAUCUUCCCUUACUCUUUUAAUAUUGUGCUUGAUUGAAUUUAUUAUUUUUUAUUUGAUUAAGGCAAUAGAUUAAAUUGUUGUGCGAAUUGUAUUGCAUAAAUUUUAAAAUCCUAAUUCACCCACCCUUUUGGGUUGCAUAACUUGCAUUUCAACAUCAACAUGAGAUGUUCCUUAAGUCCCACCAGUAGCAGCUUGGAAUAGUGUAUGGUUAGGAACCAUGUUGAGAAACUAAGUGGCUUUCCAUUUUUUUUUUAAUAUCCAGGAGCCAAAUACUCACAUUGAUUUAAAAUCAACUUCUAACUAGUAAAAAAAAGGAAAGAAAGAAAGAAAAGGUCACAACUAUAGGCAACUUCUUAGUGCUCACCAUGUUUUAAUUAUAUUGAAUAAUGAGAUUGACUUGGAAUCCUUUAUGGAAUGCCCAUGAGUAUUAAAAGGAACUAAGGAAAAACGCUUAUGUAGCACAUGUUAAAUACUUUUAAAAUUUCAUAGUUGAGUUUUCGACCAAGCAAAUAAUAAAUUUUCUGCUUAUGUACAUUGUUGGAUCUAUUGAGUCUUUUUCAAGUUGAUUCUAAUGAAUCUUGAUGAAUUAAGAACUAAGAAAUUCAAUUGAAUAAAGAAACCAAAACUAAAAUAAGAAUUCAGAACAAGAACAGAGGUACGAAUCACCAAGUUUUAAGGGAAAAAUUCAACCACUUUAUUGAUCAACAACUAAUCAAAUAUAGAUGGAUUUAUAGAAGACUUUGCAUAGAUCACAACAAAACAGAUUAUAUGCAAAUUGAUGAACAAAAGAAGAAGAAAGAGAUUGUACAUUAGGCAUUGCUCAUCGGCUUCUAUAUGUACUGAUGUUUCUGGAAAUUUUACAAUAGAUUAUAACUAAUUCGUGCCACAACUGAAGUCAAUCUGCACAAUGAUUUUAAACUUCUUUAUAUUUUCCAUCUGAGUCCACAAAUUCAGAUACAUAUAUCUCCACAUUCUCUACCUUGCAAUUGAUUCAGUUGAUCUUUUCAAUAAAGAAGCACCCAAAAAAAUCUUUAAUCAACUACAAUUCACUCCUAAAUUUAGUUACGUUUGCGCAAAAUGCCCAUUAGAUUCACAUAGAAUUCAAACUUUGCAGUGGGAAGCACUUUUAUAAGUGCAUCAGCUGGGUUCACACUUGUGUGGAUCUUAGACACAAUUAUUGUUCCCUUUCCAACCCCAUCUCUGAUAAACUGGAGUUUCACAUGUUCUUUCAUGAUACAUAUGAUUCUUUACCAGCUGUAUAGCACUUUGAUUAUCACAGUUAAUUUGAACUGUUUUUUAAUUUAACCACAAUUCAUUAAGCAGAUCUUUCAGUCAUAAGGGAACCACAGACGUAUACCCUGAAGUUGACUUCCUUCUGUCAAGAUCUCCAGCUUAUCAUGCACAUGUUCAGCAUAAACAUAUACCCUGAAGUUAACUUCCUUCUGUCAAAAUCUCCAGCAAAGUCAGAGUCUACAAAUACUACAACCUUAUUUGUAUCACAUUUAGUUUUGUCAUACAGCAAACCACAAUUAGAAGAGCCCUUGAGGUAUCUCAUUAUCCAUUUGACAACACUCUAAUGAGUCUUACUUAAACAAUUAAGGAAUCUGCUAACAACACUCACUGCAUAGGUUGUAUCAGGCCUAGUGCAUACCAUUGCAUACAUUAGAUUCCCCACAACCUAUGCAUAUGGGAAUUCAUUUAACUGAAACUCAAUCUCAGAUGACUGAGCUGCUAAUAAUUUGAACUAUGGACUAAGAAGAGUUAGAACAAGUUUGCAAUCUUGCAUAUCAAACAUUUCUAAAACUUUCUUGAUAUAUUUCUUUUAACUCGAGAACAAAGUGCCAACAGCUCUAUCCCUUAAAAUAUCCAUCCCAAUGAUCUCUUUUAUAUUACCAAGAUCUUUCAUUUCAAAUUCAGACUUCAACAAAUUCUUCAACCUCUUUAUCUCAGACUUGUGUUUACUUGCAAUUAGCAUAUCAUCCACAUAAAGAAGCAAAUAAGCAACUCCACUUUGAUUUGAGCCACCAAAAUAAAUACAGUUGUCAUAUUUGCUUAUGUGAUAGCCUUUUAAGAUCAUACACUUAUCAAAUCUUCUAUUCCAUUGCCUCGAGGAUUACCUAAAUCUAUACAAGGACUUACGCAGCAGACACACAUGAUCUUCCUUUAACUUGUACUUAAAACCUUGAGGUUGAACCAUCAAUAUCUAUUCUUUAAGAUUAGCAUGAAAUAAUGUUAUUUUUACAUCUAUUUGCUCAAGUUCCAAAUCAAGUAAGGCCACCAUAGUUAAUAAGAUUCUUAUGGAACUGUGUUUAACAACAAGAGAACAAAUUUCAUUAAAAUCUACACCUUCUCUUUGUGCAAACCCUCUAGCCACAAGCCUUGUUUUGAAUUUUAAAGGCUCAACCCCUGUAAUUCACUCAUUCUUCUUGAAUAUCCACUUACAACUAACUAACCUUUUAUCACCUGGAUUUGGUACAAGUGUCCAAGUAUGACUUCUUUGCAGGGACUCCAUUUCCUCUUGCAUUACCUCAAGCCACUUAUCACAAUUCAGACUUUCAAUAACUUUAAAGAAGUUUCCAAGUUCUUCAAUUGCCACAUCAUCAGCACACAACAAUGCAUAAGCGAUUAAAUCGGCAUAUUUAUCCCUCACUGGGGCUUUGGUUUGCCUUCUACCUUUGUCUCUAGUUAAUUGAUAAGUCUACAAGUCAACUUGUUGCAAAUCUAAUGCUUUAUUGUCCUCAACUUUGGCCAUAGUCUCAUCCUCACUACUAAAUAGCUUUUUUUCACUAUCUCUGUCUUCAAAUAGCUCCACUUUAAUCUUGGCAAUAUCAGAGAGUUUGUUAGUAAUCAGAUCAGCACACACAUAAGUAUCAUUUUCUGCAUUUUCUUUUAAUAAUGCAGAUUCAUGAAACACAACAUCUUUGCUGAUUAUACAUUUCCUUUACUCUCUACACCAUAUUAUGUACCUUUAAUCCUAUCAUAAUAUCUAAUAAAGACACCCUUCAAUGCUCUUGCAUCUAGCCUGACUUGAUUGAUAUAAAGAUAGGCAAGGUACUCAAAAAUUCUGAGAUUUUUAUAAUUUGCAGGCUUUCCUGACCAUAUUUUCUCUAGUGUUUUGAAGCCAAUAGCAAAUGAUGGGCUUCUGUUAAUUAAGUAACAUGUUGUAUUAACAGCCCCUGCUCAAAAGUUUCUAGGAAGCUUAGAAUUCACUAACAUAUAUCUUUUUUUAUCUACCAAUGUCUUGUUCAUCAUCUCAGCCAAACCAUUCUACUAAGGGGUGAACCUUACUAUUUUAUGCCUUCUUAUUCCAUGUUUUUGACAGUAUUCCUCAAACUCUUUACUACAAAACUCUAAGCCAUUAUCAUUUCUUAAGCAUUUAAGUUUAAGCCCAGACUGAUUCUCCACCAAAGCUUUCUACACCUUAAAUUUUUUCAAGGCUUGAUAUUUGGUCUUGAGUAUGUAGAUCCACACCUUCCUUGAGUAAUCAUCAAUCAAUGACAUAAAAUACAUUCCACCACUCAGAAAUGAGACUUGUACAGGCCCCUAAAGGUCAGCAUGUACAUAGUCCAAUGCUAGCUUUGACAUAUGUUGCGCCUUAUUAAACUUGGAUCUGUGAGCUUUGCCAUAAAGACAGUUUUCACAAAAGUCAAGCUGCUGAAUUUUAUCCCCACCAAGCAACCCUUAUUUACUGAGCUCUUGUAUUCCUUUGACACUCAUAUGACCAAGUCUAAGAUGCCAUAACUUGGUUCUAUCUUUUUUAGAAACAAUAGACAUUCCUUCCAUAACAGACAUUGAUAAACCUUACAACACGUACAUACUAUUCUCUUUAACCCCUUUUAUCACUGUCUCAAUCCCUUUAAUUAUCUUUAAGCCACCAUUUUCAGACUUAAAGAAGUAUCUUAAGCUGUCUAACAUGCCUUACCUCAUGUAGAGCUCUUAUAGUCUCAUCAAACAUCUUGAUUUUAAUAGAACCAAUACCAAUAAUUUUAUACACAUUGUUAUUUCCCAUCAAGACUCUACCACCAUCCACAGUCUCAUAUUUGUAAAAAAAAUUUCUAUCAAGACACAAGUGAAAAGAACAACUAGAGUCUAUAACCCACUGACCUUUUGUGUUGCCAUUUGAGGCUACAAGCAAAUCAGCACUGAGGUAUCCAUUAGAGGCAUCAUCGGAGGCUAAAACUGUAUCCCCUGAUCUUUCUUGACACUCUUUCGUUUUCUUUUUAAGGUAAUUCUUGAUAUGAUGUCCUUCUUUCCUGCAGUAAAAACAUUUCCUCUUCUUUUUCUUCUUAUCUGUAUUUUCUUGAUUUUUUCCAUGUCCUUUUCCCUAGUUUUUAUUCUUCUGCUCUUUAUUCUUUUCUAUUCUGGCAACCAGCACAUCACCAUUACUCAUUUCAUACCCAUUAUUCUUUUGAAUCUCUUUUGAACUCAAAGAUGCCAUAACAUCUUUAAGAGUCAAUGUUGUUCUGCCAAAUAACAUUGUAUUCACAAAGCCUUCAUAAGACUUUGGCAGAGAACUCAGCAAGAAAAUAACUUUAUCUUCAUCACUUAUUUUUACAUUUUCAAUCCCUUCAAGAUCAAGAAUGAUCUUGUUGAAGGUGUCAAUAUGAUCUUGCAUUAAAACUCCUUCUUUCAUUAAGAAGGUGUAUAGUCAUUUCAUCAAGAAAAGUCAGUGAGUCAGGGACUUCUUCAUACACAAAGCUUCCACGUUGUUCAAAAUUCCUAAGGUUGCAUUUUCCUCAAAAAUCUUUAUCAAGAUUGAGUCACUAAGACUCAAAAUUAGAGUGUUGUGAGCUAUGUGUUUCCUCUUUUCAUUGGACAUAGAACUUGAAGCAGCCUUUGGAUUUUCUUUUUCUAGAGCAAAUUCGAGGCCCUGAUGCACAAUGAGAGCCCUAAUUUUCAGUUUUCAAAGUGAAAAAUCACCACCAGUGGUGAAUUUCUCAAUUUCAGGCUUUGGAAGAGACAUGACUGAGAUUCAUCAAGCUUUAAUACCACUUGUUGAGUCCACUGAGUCAUUUUCAAAUUGAUUAUAAUGAAUCUUGAUGAAUUAAGCAUUAAAAAAUUCAAUUGAAUCAAGAAACCAGAACCAGAAUAAGAAUUGAGAACAAGAACAGAGGCACGAACCACCAAGUUUUGAAAGAAAAAUUCACUCACUAUAUUUAUCAACAACUAAUCAAAUACAGAUCACAACGAAACAGAUUUUAGACAAAUUAAUAAACAAAAGAAGAAGAAAGAGAUUGUACAUCGGCAUUGCUCAGCUUCUGUAUGUACUGAUGUUUCUACAAAUGUUAUAAUAGAUUAUAUACGCCACAUCAGCAGAAAUAUCUAUUAGGCCCCUUCAACUGAAGUCAAUCCGCAAACCGACUAUGAACUUCUUCAUAUUUUCCAUUUGAGUCCACAAACUCAGGUACAUAUAUCUCUAACUACGUGAAUGGCGGUAAUGCAUAACUUAAGUGAAAAGGUAAAGAUUUUAUACAUCGAGGGUACUAAAAACCAAUAUUCUUAUUGUACAGGCAUUAUGGAAACACAAAAUUUUACGAAACCCUACUUGUCCAAAAUCAUAAUCGUGUUCUGUUUCUAAAGGCUUGUGAGUUUGCUAAUGCUCAUUGUGUCAAGUGGCUCAACAGGUAAGCCUGGGUUUUUGCUGAUAAUUCUUGUGCCACAAAACGCAUACUAGGUCGUGUGUCUGGAGUGGUACUUGUGCAUGCUAAGGCUACGUUGAUCAUGAACGCCACUGCUUUUGAUAAUUGGCCUUUCGGAGGUGGAAGACGCUGGUCUAGCACAUCCUUGAGAAACAAUUCCAGAUUGUUUGACAAUGAUGAUUCUGAUAGGGAAGUUAUAAGUUCUCCUGGGUGCCUUCCCAUCAUAACCUCCAGUGCCACCACUCCAAAACUAUAAACAUCACAUUUAUCUGUGACCCGCAUUGUGACCGCCAGCUCUGCACAUUAAAGAAAUUUAGAAAUCCAAUCAAAUUAACAAAAUGUUUCAUCAAUAGGGGCACUCACUAGUUUCUAAAGAUUUGAAGCAACAAAAUCUCUCUAGAUAACAGCAUGAGACAACACCAUCACAUGAAGAAAACCUGUUAUCCAGGAGAUUGUUCUUGGACAUGUAUGCACAAAAUCAUACCCUUUUGUACAGGCGAUGUGUAUUUUAAGUAUAUCAAAUGAAUUAAGAUAAUGUUAACUUUGUCUAAUGAGAGCUAUUUAUUUUAUAUAAAGUGCUUUCAGAGACUAUAACGAAAAUGCAGAAAGGAAAUUGUUAGCUUACCAGGAGCCAUGUAGCCAUAGGACCCAGCAACUGACGUCCAGUUGGAGGAAUCUGGAUUCAACAGUCUUGCAGUGCCAAAAUCUGAGAGCCGUGGUACAAACUCUGACUCGAGCAAGAUGUUAUUCAAAGAUAUGUCCCGGUGCACAAUAGGUGGAGAGCAGUCGUGGUGCAAAUAAGCAACACCAUGAGCCACUCCUUGCACAAUCUUCAACCUUGCAGCCCAGUCCAACGCUUCUUCCCCUUCCAACCCGUACAAAACAUUUGCCAGACUACCUCUCUCAACAUAUUCAUAAACCAAGUACAUACACCCUCCCCUGGAACAAAAUCCAUUUAGCUUGAUAAUAUUUCUGUGCCUAAUAUCUGUCAACAUGCGUAUUUCAUUCUCAAAACUGUGGCGAUUCAUCAAGGGAAUAUCACUGGAGUCUGACAUAUGAAGCUUUUUUACUGCAACAACUUGACUUGUUGGUAGUACCGCCUUGUAAACGCUUCCAAAUCCUCCUCUACCAAUGCAGUACUUCUCGCUAAAAUCCUCUGUGGCCUUCGCAAUAUCCCCAAAAGUGAACUUUCCUUCUCUCGCCCUUAUCAAUGACUCAGAAGCAUUACUCUUUUUACUAUUUUUUGUCUCCUCACCAAGGAGUUUGAUUUUGCUACGAUAUAUGAAAACUACAGCAACAAUUGUUGCAAGAAGUAAUAGGCCACAUACAGGGACAAUGACACCAAUAAGAACCUUCCUUUUAUUGUUUGUGGAUUUACCAGAAGAUUGUGUAGGACUGCAAGGAUCUAACCCUGCUGCGUCUCCACACAAACCUGAGUUCCCGACAAAAGCUUCUGCAGAUGCGUUCCGAAAUACGCCGCCGCUUGGAAUUGGACCUGUUAACUCGUUAUCUGAGAAGUCCACUAAACGUAGACUAAUCAUGUUGGAGAAUGAUGCUGGAAUUCUCCCUGACAGCUGGUUACGCGACAAAUUGAGAAUCUCCAGUGAUCUAAGCUUUCCCAGAUCUUGAGGGAUUGUUCCAGAGAGUGAAUUGCUGCUGAGAUCCAACAUGUACUGCAAUACAAUCAAAUUACCUAGCUUCGAUGGUAUUUCCCCUGAUAAAUCAUUGUGGCUUAGGUUUAAGCUCAAUAAUUUAUCAAAGCUACCAAGCUCUUGAGGGACAUCUCCUGUCAAUUUGUUAUUUGACAAAUCCAGAUAUGCAAGCUCAGUUAAAUUGCUUAUACUCUUAGGGAUCUCUCCUGUUAAGUAGUUGUUGCUCAAAUUGAGACUGAACAACUUGACUAAUUUUCCUAGAUCAGUAGGAAUUUUCCCUGUGAGUUCAUUUGAGUCUAGGCUUAGAACGCCCAAGCGGGUCAAAUUCCCGAGCUCAGCAGGGAUGCCUCCAGAAAUCUUAUUUCUAUCUAACUGCAGAUUACUGAGAUUUCUGCAUUCUCCCCAGUCAGGUGAAAUUUCACCAAUAAAAUGAUUGCCGCUUAGUCUGAUGAAAUCAAGUCUUGGAUGAACUCCAAAUGCCUUUGUAAUAUUGCCAGUGAAUUGGUUCCCAUCAAAACGAACUCUGUUCAGAUUCGAACAAUUCCGCAUGCAAGCUGGUAAUGACCCUGUAAAAUUGUUGCCAUUCACCGCCAGUUCUUCAAGAGCGAAACCACUGCACAAUUCAUGUGGCAGUUCUCCAGAGAAGCUGUUGUUAGAAAAGCUAACAUUUAUCAAGGAAGGACUGAACUUUCCAAAAUCGCCAGGAAUGCUGCCAGAGAAGUUAUUAGUGAACACAGAGAAUUUGUUUAGGUUAACAAGGCGAGAAAUGUUCUCUGGCAACUCUCCGUGCAGUUGGUUUGUAUUGACAUCAAAAGCUACCAAUGAAGCCAUACUCCCAAUCUCCGGUGGAAUUGUACCACUGAGAUUAUUGAAGAAAAGCUGCAAGCUCAGAAGGUUCGUCAGAUUCCAUAAUGUUGGGGGAAUUGUACCCGAAAGCUGGUUUCCAGAAAGGUCUAAUUUUUCAAGACUAGUCAACUUUCCUAUCUCUGAAGGAAUAGGACCAGAGAAGUUGUUCCUAUACAGGAAAAGGUACUGGAGCUUUGUCAAUAGGCCAAUUUCUGGUGGAAUGUUCCCCAUGAAGGAAUUGUUUUGAAUUUGCAAUGACUCCAAUUCAGUCCAAUUACCAAUGAGAUUAGCCGAGAUCUCACCGGAGAGAAAAUUGUCAGACAAGCCCAAUUCAUUUAAUCUGGAUAGAUUUGACAGUGACAAAGGCAACCCCCCACUGAGUUGAUUCAUAGCUAAAGCCAAGAAUGAAAGGUUUGUACAGAGGCCAAGCUCAGGAGGUAUGGUGGAAUUUAAGGCGUUCAUUCGAAGAUCAAGAUGUUGAAGGUUUUUGAGUUGGCCUAAGGAAGACGGAAUCUGCCCUGUGAACGAAUUGUUAAACAAUUCAACCAGCUGAAUGUUAGACAUCAAACCUAUAUCCCCAGGAAUUGGACCGCUAAACUUGUUGGUUGCUAGACGAAGGACUAUGAGAUUGGAGAGCUUGGAAACAUUUGGUGACAAUUUUCCUUGGAAUUGAUUAUCGGUGAGGUUGAGGUAUUCAAGCUUGCCCAGAUUGGUGAACAGCCUCUCUGGUAUUAGGCCACUCAACUUGUUCAGUGACAAGUCGAGAUAAGUCAAGUUCCGGCAAGUUAAUAUGAAUGAAGGAAAUUCCAAGGUCAAUUCAUUGUAGCAAAGGCCAAGGUGUGUCAAUGAAGGCAUGUUUGAAAAUUUGGACCAGUCAGGAGUUUCUAAGAAGUUCCCACCAAGGUCUAAGUAGCGUACCUUUCGAAGAUUGCUAAGUUGAAAAGGAAAGGCACCAUUGAGACUGUUGUUAUACACACUGAGAUACUGAAGCUCCGACAAGUCUCCCAUCUCGGAAGGUAUGCUACCUUCGAAAAGGUUGUUGUUCAAGUCUAGGAAAGUCAGGUUGGAGAGGGUGCCAAUGGCAGGCGGUAUUGGUCCAGAGAUGUUGUUGUGGCUGAGGUCUAAGCUUGUGAGAGUUGCAAAUUCGGUGAAGUUGAAUGCUGUGAGAGUUGCAUUGAUGUCUGCACCGGAGAGGUUUAUUUCAGAAACUGCGCCGGGGGAAUCGCAAGCAAUGGAAGUCCAGUUGCAGAGGUUGUCGAGGUUGUUGCGUGACCAUGAAGAAAGAGGGGACGGGGACGGCGAAAAUCCGAAGCUGGUCUUCCAUCUGAUGAGAGCUUCUGCUUGAGUUCUGGGGGAAGAUGAAAUCUGCAGUGGAAACAAAACGAGCAGAAGAACGUGAAACAGAACAAGAGAAAGCUUUCUGGUUGGCGUCAUUUUAGUUAUUUGAGUUUCUAUCAUGCUACGUUGAUCGGGGUUGUUGUUACUCGUCUUAUAUAAAGCCCACGGAGAGAGGGAGGGAGAUACUUGUCAAAUAUGAGCUCCAAAGUCCCAAAAAGAAACAAAAAAAAAAAUUAAUAAACCGUGUCUUGCUUUCUACGUUUUAAUUAUUUAACUUACUGGGGGUGGGCAAAACUGAACAUUUAGUUCGGUUCCUUUUUUUUUGUUUCAGUUUGAAAUUUUUAAAUAAAAAAUCUGAUUUUAUAAAUACCCAAUCGUUCAGUUCGGUUCAGUUUCGAAUCAAAAGUUAUAAAAUCCUAACCGAAUCGAAAUUAAGGUAUUUUCGUAAUUUCACUCUAACAUAUAUAUACACAAAUCACACGAUUCACACGUUUGCAGUUUGCACCUCUCUCUCUCUCUUUCACUUUCAGUAUAGCUGCACAACACAGGCUAGGGGUGUUCAAAAUUCAAUCUGAUCUGCUCAAUCCGUAUGAUCCGUAGAAAUCUAAUUCGUAAUCCGCAAUCGGUGGAUUUGAUAUGGAUCACUUUUGUAAAUCUACAAAAAUCUGCAAAUCUGCAAAAAAAAAAAUAAAAAAAUAUUUAUUUAAUAAAAAAUAAAACUUGUAUAUGAAAUUUUACUUGCUAAUAAAUAAAUAAGUUAAAAUAUAGUUAUAUUAACACCGUAUUAUGUCUUUUUUGAUAAUAAUAUAAAAUAAAAAUAAUUAAAUAAAAAAUAUGGCUUCCUAAGUAGUUAAUUUUCAUGCACCAUCUAAACAAAUGAGAUUUUUUCCUUUUUGGUGUGUUAUAUUUUGAAACUUUAAAUGUAUUUUCUAUCUUUAUUUAAACAAUUAAUUUAUUUAAAUCUUAUUUGACUAGUAGUAAAAUUAUUUUUAUAUUAAUCUUUUUUUUAUUUAUUUAGUUCGUGGAUAGGACAUGACUAAAAUUUUUUUGCCCGCAAAUCAAUCCGUAAAAUAGUAGAUUGGAUAUUGAUUAGGUCAAAUCCGUAUCUGAUCCGCAGACGUAUGGAUUGGAUUUGGAUUGAAUUUCACCAAUCAAUAGAUUGGAUUGGAUUAAAAAUUUAUAAUCUGCAAAAUCAUGGAUCGGAUAUGGAUUGAUAUCUAAUCCGUAAAAUCCGAUCCGUGAACACCCCUAAGCACAGCCACGACCCAGCCCUAAUUCGCAUUUGCCUUUGCCCAUUAUGCCUUCUCCUUGCAGUCAUUUUUUCCUCCGUCACCAACUAUCCAGUCAGGUAACUCACUAACUUGCUAUAUUUCCUUUUUUUUUUUAAAUGGGUCUUUUUUUGUUUUGAGAUAACUCUUUGAUCUGUUCUUAUUUUAUGCUUGCUUAAAUUAUUAGUAGUAUUUAGUUUGAAAUGGGUCUGCCUUUGCUUAGAUAUGAGUCUGAUAUUGUAUUUUUUUCAAUUUUUUCGCUUGGAUACUAUGCUGCUGUCAGUGCUUGGUGAGGGUUGAGAAACGAAUUGUUGAAGCUUAUGGAGGGAUAAUAUCGUUUGGACCCCUUUUCUUUAUAAUAUUUUAGUAUGGCCUAAUAUUUAGGAAAUGUUUACAUAUGAGAAUUCUAUUAUGGUUUAAUUUGUUUGCAAAAAUUUCAGAAUGGUCCUUGACCAAAGGUCAAUAAGUAAAAUAUCAUUUGAGUCCGUAAUAUUUUGCCAAUUUCUACUAUUGUACAAAAAUUUAUUUUAUUUUAAGGAAAUUUACAACCGUCCACCUGUUUGUUUUGUCUUUUUCAAAAAUGCACAAACACUUUUUUUUUUCAGCGCGCCACCUGAAGUUUACUUUUUGUUGCAUUCUUCCACUUCCGUCUAAUUUCCGUUAGCAAAUUUAACGGAAUGACCUUUUUGCCCCUCAAAAUUACAAUUUAAUCCAAAAUAAAUAGAAAUUAGAGAUAAAUUGGAUGGAUUUAAUUUUUUUCGAAGGUGGAUGCUAGAAAUUGGAGGAAAAUAAUGUUUGUUUCUUGCUAAAUUUAGAAAAUUUGUAUUUAUUUUUUUGGAGGAAAAUAGUGUUUGUUACUUGUUAGAUUUAGAAAAUUUGUAUUUAUUUUUUCUCUUUCAAAAAAAUAAAUACAAAUUUUCUAAAUUUAGCAAGCAACAAACACUAUUUUCCUCCAAUUUCUAGCAUCCACCUUUGAAAAAAAUUAAAUCCAUCCAAUUUUUCUCCAAUUUCCAUUUAUUUUGGGUUAAAUUGUAAUUUUGAGGGGUAAAAAGGUCAUUUCGUUAACAUUCCGUUAAAUCCACUAACGGAAAUUAGACGGAAGUGGAAGAAUGCAACAAAAAGCAAACUUCAGGUGGCGCGUUGAAAAAAAAAUGUUUGUGUAUUUUUGAAAAAGGCAAAACAAACAGGUGGACGAGUGUAAAUUUCCCUUUAUUUUAUUUACAUUUUGGGCUAAAACUUUUAUAUUAAAAACAGUAACCAUAAUUCUGAAAAUUAUUCAUUUUAAUCCAAAUUUCUUGCCUUUUUUCCACAUACAAAUUUGUAAAUUAUUUUAUUUUUGUUUAUUAUAAAUUGAUUAUAGUAGACCUUGCGUGCAGGAUGGAAGAAAAUAACAAUGUUAUAGAGGAGAUUAUGAAGGACGAUUUUGAGGAGGGUGUUGAGAAUAAAAAAAACCAAACCGAAAACGAAACCAUUAAGAUGAAUCGAAAAACCAAUUGCUUAAAUAAAACCCUUAAGAGAACUGAAAUCGAUCCGAAACUAAAAACUGAUUCCAAACCGAAACCGACCUAUCAGUUUCGAUUCGGAACGGUUUUUUUAAAUUUUAGAUCCGAACCGAUCCAAAACCUAAAAUUUAUUUCGAAACCAAACUGACGCCCACCUCUAGUCUUACAACCUUACAACUUCCUUUCCAUCAAGUUGGUUCAAAUAACUAUUUUUACCUUGUGACCAAUAAUAAGCCUUCACCAAACUUUUUUAACACUUCAGUUGACUUCCGACUUCAAACACGUGCGAAUAUGGCAUGUUGGCCUUCGUUUUUUUACUUCUGUAGAACGAUACAAAGACUUGGCAAUUGAACCUGGAAGCAAGAAUAACCUCAUUUUUUCCCCAAAAAAAAAAAAAAAAAACUGAAGUAAGAAAUUGGAAUUGGAAGCAAUUUUUCCAGUUACACAAAAGUCCUCAAAUUACUUGCCGAAUUAUGGUAGUUGGUAAGUUGACUUUGACUGUCCACAAAUUACUUUCCGAAUUAUGGUAGUUAGUAUUAUUAGUUUAAAAAAUGUUUGGAAUAAUUGUUCCGUAUAAAUUAUUAUCUUUAUGCCAGGAAUACGGAAAAUUCAAAUCGAAUUUCAGGUAUAGGGUAUACUUUAACUUCGAAGACAAACAGAGAGAGCUGACGAGUAAGUGAAAAGGCAAAAUGAGAUCAUGUUUGAUUUAGAUACGUUUUUAAAUACAUCUUUACUUUGUCAUAAUCAUUAAACUAAAUGGUUCAGUUUGAUUAACUGGAUUGGAUAUUAAAAAAAUAAUACACACACACACAAAAUGCAAUGGGAGCUAAUUAUGAAGCAGAAUUGAGCAACUUAAUAUUUUUAUAAUGAAACGCAUCAAGCACCCUUCUCAGUGGGAUUUUAUUUGUCCAACAAAUUCCGUUUAGAAAAUACAAAAUACAGUGAAUGCUAAAAUCCAUCCCAUUUACUACCCUACAAAAUUAGUGCGCCAGUCCUUAGCCGCAAUAAUAUUGUGCAUGAGUGAAUAGUGAUAAAUACGAAUUAAGACUAAUGUUGAUCUCCAUUUUAACCAACCAAUGAGACUACAAAUCAAAGUCCAACGUUGGGAAACUACGAAAUUUCUUUAUGAAUCAGACUUGCGUGGCCUCAAAAGAAGUAUGAUGAAUGAAUUGACAGAUACCAACUUGGGUUUUAAUCGCAUGUAUGAAGAUUGACAGUCAAAUAUAAGAAAACAAAUAGGAGGAAAUUUCAAAAUUUAAUUGGAGAAAUUUGUACCCUGGCAGCCUUCAUUGGGUUGCCCAUUGAAUUUGCACGACAGAUCCGUUUUUCCCAUAAACUCACAUCACAGAUGAAAGUUACCAAGAACAAGAACUCUGAGAAAGUAUCCGGAUGUCACAACACAAAGUCUAUAGUUCAUAAAUUCUUUCCCCAUAUCCUGUGAGAAUGCCUGGAAACUUACGUUCAAAAAAAAAAUCUAAAAAAAAAAUACCUUGAAAUUAUUAAAUAAUUAUGUUCUCGAUCUAAAUUAACUUUUCAGAAACAUUCUGACAAACAUUGACAAAGUGUGAUUCCAGAACAAGCCCUUCUAUGAUAACAGAAAUGCCGACUAAAUGACAACUCUUACAAGAAUGAAGAGAUGGUGAGUAUUUUUUUUUUUUUCUAACAUGCAUCCUAAAGGUUUCUCUUUAGCUUAUACAUUCUAACCAAGGACAGGCAUACAUGUCUGGGUUUGUACAAUACAAUGAAUAUCUCAGCAUACUUUACGCUUGUAAGAAUGACAAAUGAGACUAAUUUAAGAAACGAAAAUCACUGUUUUAUGUACUUUAUGAAUGUUAGUAAACUGAAACAAUCAGUACAUUUGUCCGUCAACCAACACAACGUAGAUGUCCCAGCCUAAGGGCCAUCGCAACAAGAAAAUUUGGCCAAAAGCUUAGCACAAACUGUGAAAGUCAUAGUCAACCAAUCUCAUUCUCUAGAAGCAAAGAUUACUUUCUUUGCAGCGGAGCCCCAACGAAAGGCUCCAUUGGUUUUAGAAUGAUGUAUAAAGCAAAUAAAAAUAAAGAACCCGUCAAACACACUGCACGAGUCGAUACGCACAGCGCCUAGUAUCCAUCGUUUACGGCUAGGACUACGGGGCGCCUAGUAUCCAUCGUUUACUGCUAGGACUACGGGGUAUCUAAUCCCAUUCGCUCCCCUAGCUUUACGUCUCUCAAUGUCCAUUCCACUCGAUUCAAGAGCAAGAGAAAGAACCAAUGCCCCAUUCGGGUAUAUCGAUUGAAAUACCCGUAAGGGAUAUUUUCCGUAGAAAUAGUAUUCUUACGAAUGAUUCGGAGUUCUUGCAUAGUAGAACCAUGUCUUAUAUCAGGAGGUCUGGGAGUGAUAUUAUUUACCAACCCAAUUUAUUCUGCCUUUGCCUAACUUCCUUCUUGUAUCAUUAAACCGUCACCCAUUAAAACAACACCAACAUUAUUUGAUUCCAAAUUCAGAGCAAUGCCUAUUGUACCCUCUUCAAAUUCUACUAAAUCACCUGCCAUUACUCAAGUCAAGCUAUGAACUCAGACUUAAACCAUUGCAUCCACAUUGUGCCCUUAGUCUGCUCAUGAAACUUUUGAUGCAAAGAAACAAAAAACAGAGACUGCAACCAUGAGGGCAUUAGUACACAGAACACUUCACAUUUGGCCAAAAGCUAAGCACAAAAUGUAAAAGUCAUAGUCAACCAAUCUCAUUCUCUAGAAGCAAAGAUUACUUUCUCCUCAGUGGAGGCCCAAUGAAAAGCUCCAUUGAUUUUAGAAUGACGUAUAAAGCAAAUAAAAAUAAAAGAAUACGUCAAACACAAAUACAAGUCAAGCUACAAACUCAGACUUAAACCAUUGCAUCCACAUUGUGCACUUAGUCUGUUUAUGAAACUUAUGAUGCAAAGAAACAAAAAACAGAAACUGCAACCAUGAGGGCAUUCAUACACAGAACGCUUCACUUUCUCAUUUUAUCCUAUGUUUUCGUUCAAAUUUCUGCGCAGAAAGAAGCAGAAGCUCUGCUAAACUGGAAAAGCAGCUUAGUUUCUUCAUCUCUUCCUUCAUGGACUGCCAUUAACAGCAGCGGUGGCCCAUGCAACUGGAAUGGAAUUCAGUGCAAUGAAGUUGGCAGCAUUUCUGAGAUAAACUUAGCAAAUUCAGGCCUGGACGGAACACUGGACAGGUUUGACUUCUCUGCUUUUCCUAAUCUCACUGCCCUCAAUCUCAAUAUGAACAAUUUAGUAGGAAGUAUUCCGGCUGGAAUUGGGAAUGCAACAAAGCUCAUCUUACUUGAUUUGAGUAGCAAUAAUCUCACAAAUCCAAUACCUCCAGAAAUUGGAUACCAUUCAGAACUCCGAGUCCUUCUUCUCUACAAUAAUUCACUCACAGGUCAAAUUCCACAUCAACUUAGCAACCUACAGAACGCGUGGCUGCUAAGAAUUGGUGCUAACUACCUGGAGGAUCCUGACCCAGUCAAGUUUAAGGGUAUGGCAUCUUUAACAGAUCUUUGGCUUGACUAUAAUCUUUUGGAGAAAUUUCCCUCGUUU
RNAcentral lists this long non-coding RNA (29994 nucleotides) under Citrus x clementina. RNAcentral describes it as "Citrus clementina (C. clementina) long non-coding RNA (CCLE_LNC004604)". The record is from RNAcentral. Lineage: Eukaryota; Viridiplantae; Streptophyta; Magnoliopsida; Sapindales; Rutaceae.